Molecule: long non-coding RNA, 452 nt
Organism: Thrips palmi
Lineage: Eukaryota; Metazoa; Arthropoda; Insecta; Thysanoptera; Thripidae
Exons: 4
Source: RefSeq, a predicted model, not a curated record
GUUUCGAGUGGAGGUUUCGGCAAUUCGGAUGUGGUCUGCUACUUUCAUUUUCAAUCGCAGAUUUUGAUCAAGCUUCUCCUUCGUUUUCAUGCGCGGUGCACUAUAAAAACACGACUGGCUGCGAAAGAAACGUUUUGCCAGUAGACCGCUCUCUUGGUCUUUCUCAGAUCCAGACUGCUGCCCAUAGCCAUAGACUUGGCUUUCCUGUUUUGCCUUUCUUUUCGCUUCGUUGACACCAAAUCUGAGAAUGAAAUGUUCAGCACUAAACAAAGUAUUCCUUUGAAGUUUCUGAAUAUUCUACAAACUUAGUGAAGAACUGUCAGCACUUCUCAACAAAUAUGCUAUGGCUGUGAUUGUGCAAGAAUAUUUACAAUAAUAUUUUUCUGGUUUUCAAAAAUUGGCUGCCAAUGUUUUGAGGAUUGAGAUUUUGUCUCGCUCUUUCGGAGUUGAUA